GGAGAAUACACAUAAAAUUGAGAGAGAAAAUCCAUAACCCAAUAAAAAAAAUAUGGAUGAUGUGAUUUCAAGGAGAAAAGGAAAUAUGUGAGAUGAUGGGAAUCCCUUUGUUUGGUCUACCAUCCACAGGCUGAGGAGGAUGUGAGAGGACAUCCUUUUAACAAGACAGGUAUGCUUCUUUUUUUCAUUAAAUGUAAUGCAUUGUUUCCUCCAUAAGUGUGGGUUAUUGCAUUGUUGUUGUGGGAGGGUUGUUUCUGUUGUUGUGCUUGAUCCAAUAGUUUUAAAGGAGAGAGGAGAUAAUCAACCUUCACAGACAGAAUGAUUGUACUAUAUACAUAAGAGAGAAUGGAAAAGAGCCUUGUUUCACAAUUAUUUUAAAAGUCGCUGUAUGGAGAUAUCGAUUCAUUACAGUUAGAUCUUCAGCAAUUUUCAGGUGAGCAAUGUGUCUUCUUUUCUUGAGUUUCAGAGUCUCCUAAGGAGUUUGGGAACAGCCGUUGAUAU
Molecule: non-coding RNA, 501 nt
Organism: Pelobates cultripes (western spadefoot toad)
Lineage: Eukaryota; Metazoa; Chordata; Amphibia; Anura; Pelobatidae
Source: the annotation of a GenBank genome assembly